This 468-nucleotide ribosomal RNA is filed under the name uncultured bacterium. RNAcentral describes it as "partial 16S ribosomal RNA". It matches the Rfam family "Bacterial small subunit ribosomal RNA", at positions 28 to 507 of the family's 1533-position model. The record is from RNAcentral.
GACGAACGCUGGCGGCGUGCUUAACACAUGCAAGUCGAACGGAAAGGCCCUGCUUUUGUGUGGUUCUCGAGUGGCGAACGGGUGAGUAACACGUGAGUAACCUGCCCUUGACUUUGUGAUAACUUCAGGAAACUGGGGCUAAUACCGGAUAGGAUCUCCUGCUGCAUGGUGGGGGUUGGAGAGUGUCGGCGGUUGGGGAUGGACUCGCGGGUUAUCAGCUUGUUGGUGAGGUAGUGGCUUACCAAGGCUUUGACGGGUAGCCGGCAUGAGAGGGUGACCGGCCACAUUGGGACUGAGAUACGGCCCAGAAUCCUACGGGCGGCAGCAGUGGGGAAUAUUGCACAAUGGGCGGAAGCCUGAUGCAGCAACGCCGCGUGCGGGAUGCCGGCCUUCGGGUUGUAAACCGCUUUCGACUGUGACGAAGCGUGAGUGACGGUAAUGGGUAAAGAAGCACCGGCUAACUACGUG